GUGUCAGCAGCCGCGGUAAGACAGAGGGUGCAAACGUUGUUCGGAAUUACUGGGCGUAAAGCGCAUGUAGGCGGCCAAGCAGGUCGGAUGUGAAAUCCCUCGGCUCAACCAAGGAAGUGCAUUCGAAACCGCAUGGCUCGAGUCCCGGAGAGGAAGGUGGAAUUCUCGGUGUAGAGGUGAAAUUCGUAGAUAUCGAGAGGAACACCGGUGGCGAAAGCGGCCUUCUGGACGAGGACUGACGCUGAGAUGCGAAAGCGUGGGGAGCAAACAGGAUUAGAAACCCGAGUAGUCC
This 292-nucleotide ribosomal RNA is filed under the name uncultured bacterium. RNAcentral's name for it is "partial 16S ribosomal RNA". It matches the Rfam family "Bacterial small subunit ribosomal RNA", at positions 505 to 796 of the family's 1533-position model. The record is from RNAcentral.